CCCUUAGACACUCUAGGCGGCACGCGCGCUACAAUGGGUGGAAGACCGUGUUACUGCCUUCGAAAGAAGGGGUGAAUCACGAAUUCUUACCCGUGAAUGGGAUAGUUUGUUGCAAUUUUCGGACUUGAACUAGGAAUCCCUUGUAAGCAUGCUCAAGAAUAGCGUGUUGAAUACGUCCCUGCCGUUUGUACACACCGCCCGUCGUUUCUUCCGACUGAUACUCAUUGUGAGUUGCAAGGACGCUUCAUCGUGAAAUUGCUGCGAAUGCUUUGUAUUGGAGGAAGAAAAAGUCGUAACA
Molecule: ribosomal RNA, 298 nt
Filed under: uncultured eukaryote
Lineage: Eukaryota
Description: partial 18S ribosomal RNA
Rfam family: Eukaryotic small subunit ribosomal RNA
Source: RNAcentral